Molecule: ribosomal RNA, 446 nt
Filed under: uncultured bacterium
Lineage: Bacteria
Description: bacterial SSU rRNA
Rfam family: Bacterial small subunit ribosomal RNA
Source: RNAcentral
CCUACGGGUGGCUGCAGUGGGGAAUAUUGCACAAUGGGCGCAAGCCUGAUGCAGCGACGCCGCGUGAGGGAUGACGGCCUUCGGGUUGUAAACCUCUGUUAGCAGGGAAGAAGAGAGAUUGACGGUACCUGCAGAGAAAGCGCCGGCUAACUACGUGCCAGCAGCCGCGGUAAUACGUAGGGCGCGAGCGUUGUCCGGAAUUAUUGGGCGUAAAGAGCUUGUAGGCGGUUUGUCGCGUCUGCUGUGAAAGGCCGGAGCUUAACUCCGUGUAUUGCAGUGGGUACGGGCAGACUAGAGUGCAGUAGGGGAGACUGGAAUUCCUGGUGUAGCGGUGGAAUGCGCAGAUAUCAGGAGGAACACCGAUGGCGAAGGCAGGUCUCUGGGCUGUAACUGACGCUGAGAAGCGAAAGCAUGGGGAGCGAACAGGAUUAGAUACCCUUGUAGUC